AGAUGGAGGCGAUGGCCCCGCGCACGCUGCUCCUGCUGCUGGCGGCCGCCCUGGCCCCGACCCUGACCCGCGCGGGCUCGCACUCGCUGCGGUAUUUCUACACCGCCGUGUCCCGGUCCGGCCUCCGGGAGCCCCGGUAUGUGGAAGUCGGCUACGUGGACGACACGCAGUUCGUGCGCUACGACAGCGACGCGGAGACUCCGAGGAAGGAGCCGCGGGCGCCGUGGAUGGAGCAGGAGGGGCCUGAGUAUUGGGAGAGGAGCACACAAAGAACCAAGAACCGCGAGCAGAUUUUCCGAGGGAACCUGAGGACCGCGCUCGGCUACUACAACCAGAGCGAGGGCGGCUCUCACACCAUCCAGGUGAUGUACGGCUGUGAGGUGGGGUCGGACGGGCGCCUCCUCCGCGGGUAUCAUCAGCACGCCUACGACGGCCGCGAUUACAUCGCCUUGAACGAGGACCUGACGACGUGGACGGCGGCGGACACGGCGGCGCAGAUCACCCGGGGGAAGUGGGAGCGGGAUGGUUAUGCAGAGAGACAGAAAGCCUACCUGGAGGACGAGUGCGUGCCGUGGCUGCGCAGACACCUGGAGACCGGGAAGGACGCGCUGCUGCGCUCAGAUCCCCCAAAGGCACAUGUGACCCAUCAUCCUGGACCUAAAGGUGACGUCACCCUGAGGUGCUGGGCCCUGGGCUUCUACCCUGCUGACAUCACCCUGACCUGGCAGAGGGAGGAGGAGGAACAGACUCAGGACAUGGAGCUGGUGGAGACCAGACCUUCUGGGGAUGGAACCUUCCAGAAGUGGGCAUCUCUGGUGGUGCCCUCUGGGGAGGAGCAGAAAUACACAUGCCAUGUGCACCAUGAGGGGCUGCCUGAGCCCCUCACCCUGAGAUGGGAGCCUCCUCAGUCCACGGUCCCCAUCAUGGCAGUCAUUGCUGGUCUGGUUCUCCUUGGAGCUGUGGUCAUUGGAGCUGUGGUGGCUGUUGUGAGGAAGAGGAGGAGAAACACAGACCCUCCAGAGACACAUGUGACCCAUCACCCCAGAUCUCAAGAUGAUGUCACUCUGAGGUGCUGGGCCCUGAGCUUCUACCCUGCUGACUUCACCCUGACCUGAAAGAGGGAUGAGGAGGAACAGACACAGGACAUGGAGCUGGUGGAGACCAGACCUGCAGGGGAUGGAACUUUCCAGAAGUGGGCAGCUGUGGUGGUUCCUUUUGGGGAGGAGGAGAGAUACACAUGCCAUGUGCAACAUGAGGGGCUGCCUGAGCCUCUGACCCUGAGAUGGGAGCCUCCUCAGUCCACGGUCCCCAUCAUGGCAGUCAUUGCUGGUCUGGUUCUCCUUGGAGCUGUGAUCAUUGUAGCUGUGGUGGCUGUUGUGAGGAAGAGGAGGAGAAACACAGGUGGAAAAGGAGGGAACUAUGCUCCAGCUCCAGCGUGAAGACAGCUGCCUGGUGUGGAUGGAGUGACAGACGAUGUGUUCAGGUCCCUCCUGUGACAUCCAGAGCCCCUCAGUUCACUCUCAGCAAUAGUGUCUGAUGGUCCCUAUGAUCCUAUGGGCUCAACGUGAAGAACUGGGGAGCCCAGCCCACCCUGCACACUAAGACGCUGUCCCUGCACUGCCCUGUUCCCUUCCACAGCCAACCUUCCUGUUCCUGCAGACAGGAGGAGACAUCUCCAUCCUGUCUCCUCCAAGCUGCCCUGAGCUGCAGCCUCUGACUUCCCCACUGAACAUAAGAAUCUGCUGUGGGACAAUGGUCUGUACCCUGUCACUUGUGUUGUUUUUAAUAAUAUACUGAUCGGCCAGUAGUCAGAAAGGAAGUAUAGGCAGGGCGACCAGGCAGGAAAUAGAAGUGUGUCAACGAGAACAGAAUUCUCGGAAGGGGAAAGGCUGAGUUUGGAGUUACAAAGGAAGCAAGAUGAGAAUACCUCUGUCAACAAGAAUCUGAAUGUAAACUUGAUUGUCCAUGUCCUUGAUCUCAAAGGUUGAUUGGCAGGUAAAAUAAAUAAUUGAGAUAUGUAGAGUUUGAAGAGGAAAUAAAUGGCAGCAUGGACAACCUCCCAGAAUCUGUGUUCUAUGCUGUGUGCAUCUGGUGAGACAGGAUGAGGCUGUGGGAGCUGUGGGAGGCUGUGUCCCAGUGGAGCUCAGUUUAUGGACAUGGAGAAUUUUAAGAAACUUUGCUUGAUCGAUACCCAGUUUUGUGGACUAGACGGAAGCAGACGUAGCUGCUUGGGGGAAAGCCAGGGGGGCAUGCACAGAAGCAGAAGCAGAUACUUAAAGGAGGAAGAGGAUAUACAGAAGAAGUCCCUACCCUGUACUCAGCAAAACCAACCCCCUUGACCCUGAGUAAACCUGGCUUGCAGUUUUUGCCUAUAUAUGUUGACCCCAAAUGAGGAGGGGGAGCUCUCCCCACUUGGUGGCUUUCAGCUCCCAGCUAGCUGGACUAUGUCUGUACACUAAAUAAACCUUGCUUUUGAAUUCUGGA
This is an RNA transcript of Arvicola amphibius (Eurasian water vole), 2484 nucleotides long. It is a transcript of the gene named H-2 class I histocompatibility antigen, L-D alpha chain-like, with no coding region annotated. Lineage: Eukaryota; Metazoa; Chordata; Mammalia; Rodentia; Cricetidae. The record is from RefSeq and is a predicted model, not a curated record. The transcript has 9 exons.